CAAGGUCUCCGUUGGUGAACCAGCGGAGGGAUCAUUACUGAGUUUACGCUCUAUAACCCUUUGUGAACAUACCUAUAACUGUUGCUUCGGCGGGUAGGGUCCCCGCGACCCUCCCGGCCUCCCGCCUCCGGGCGGGUCGGCGCCCGCCGGAGGAUAACCAAACUCUGAUUUAACGACGUUUCUUCUGAGUGGUACAAGCAAAUAAUCAAAACUUUUAACAACGGAUCUCUUGGUUCUGGCAUCGAUGAAGAACGCAGCGAAAUGCGAUAAGUAAUGUGAAUUGCAGAAUUCAGUGAAUCAUCGAAUCUUUGAACGCACAUUGCGCCCGCCAGCAUUCUGGCGGGCAUGCCUGUUCGAGCGUCAUUUCAACCCUCAAGCUCUGCUUGGUGUUGGGGCCCUACAGCUGAUGUAGGCCCUCAAAGGUAGUGGCGGACCCUCCCGGAGCCUCCUUUGCGUAGUAACUUUACGUCUCGCACUGGGAUCCGGAGGGACUCUUGCCGUAAAACCCCCCAAUUUUCCAAAGGUUGACCUCGGAUCAGGUAGGAAUACCCGCUGAACUUAAGCA
This 565-nucleotide ribosomal RNA is filed under the name Colletotrichum fructicola. RNAcentral's name for it is "eukaryotic LSU rRNA". The stretch from base 210 to 363 matches the Rfam family "5.8S ribosomal RNA". Lineage: Eukaryota; Fungi; Ascomycota; Sordariomycetes; Glomerellales; Glomerellaceae. The record is from RNAcentral.